UAAUAAGUGGACACUUACAGAAAACAUCUCUACGAUUUGCCGGCGAGUCAGCGAACCAGCCGCGGUGCCCCUUUGAGUGCAGUGGGGAGUGCGGAUCAGCUACGUCUUUUAAAUCUUAGCCAGCCGGGAGUGGACAUGUUAGCCCGUACCCCAACAAUGUGUACAUAGGAAUUUUUUACCUGCAUAAAAUAAAUGUACCAAUGCAAGAACACAGGUGAUUCUACAAAGUAAUGGCUGACUUCUACCAGAGAAUGCAGAUCUUCUGCUAGCCUCUCGACCAUUUGCUGCAGCGGCUGCUCUCUCUAUGCAUGCAUUUGUGUGUCUGUUCGUGGAAAGGAGUAGUACACAGAGUUUCUUCCUGGGAGCCAACCCCUAUCUAACACUACUACAUUAGGCCUGGGCUUCAAUAUAAGAAAAAGAAAAGAGGAAUGAAAACAAGAUAAGCAAGGAAAAAAAUAAGCCCUGGCUUAUUUUGGUUCAUUAUCCAUUAUUCAUAUUGUUUAAUCCAUUUCAUUCAUGUAAAGGCUGUAUCAUGCUUCCAUUUGAUCACUUUCAAUAUGUAUCUUUAAAAUGAUCACCUCACAUAAAUAUCUGCUCCUAAAGGUAACUAGAAACUUUAUCUUUUCUUUUAACAGAACAAAUUUUAUACAAAUUACCAGAGGGGAUAGGGUCAAGCCUGAACCCCCCCCUCUUUUCAUUACUCUGCAGAGUAAAGCCUAUGUAAGCAAGAAAAUGACAAAGGUAAAACAGUACUGAGAAAAUUGCCCCAACUUCCAUGAUAUAAAAUGUUCCAUUUGCAAUUUGUAAAUUGUUGCCAAUCAAUAAUAACAAUGGCUAAUUAUGGUAUACUUCAACAUAUAAGAAAGUUAAGUUGGGCUGACUUAGCUGAGUAUUCUUGCAGAACUCACUGGUGCUACCAACACUAGUUUACAGGAGCGUGGCGCCCUCUCUAUGUAGGCAUCUGACUCAAAGCAGGCUGUAGCACGUAAGAAAACAUUACCUCAGAGAUUACUGAUUUAUACCUAAGAUUCAUACCUAAGAUGGGUGAUUUGAAAUGCAAAAAAAAAUGAGCUGCUCUUUCUGUCACGAUUCCCUCUGCAACUACCUAAGUCACCUCUAGGCAUUAAAAAAAAGAAGAAAAAAAGUGGCUGAGUAUUUAAAAGAGCAAUCUAGCUGUCUGAAUUGACUCGGUGUUAGUCUUUAGUGGCCCUUUAAAUAGAACAUCUUGUCACCGUUGCGUAUGACAGUGCUAAGUGGAUACAACUGUGCAAUGCCGACUGCUGCUGUUCUCAAAAUGGCCACAAUGCUGUACUAUUACUGAGCAUCAGGCACAACGGGUACAUUAAGAAUAAGGUGACAGAGAUUGGACGUGGCCAGAUUCUACAGCACUGGGGUCAUGAUAAACAAGUGCUCCUUAUUGGUGACGAUAAAAGCAAACAAGGGAAAGAGGGAGCUCAAGGAUGGACAUGCCAGGGCACCGCAUCGUGUGCUGCACACUGCGGCGACACCAAUGCCAAAGAUGGCCGUCUUUAGAGAAACAUUAAACUGCAUUAAUUAAUA
Molecule: long non-coding RNA, 1560 nt
Organism: Dermacentor andersoni
Lineage: Eukaryota; Metazoa; Arthropoda; Arachnida; Ixodida; Ixodidae
Source: RefSeq, a predicted model, not a curated record